This 407-nucleotide ribosomal RNA is filed under the name uncultured bacterium. Its description in RNAcentral is "partial 16S ribosomal RNA". It matches the Rfam family "Bacterial small subunit ribosomal RNA", at positions 30 to 526 of the family's 1533-position model. The record is from RNAcentral.
AUUGAACGCUAGCGGGAUGCCUUACACAUGCAAGUCGAACGGAGUGGCGAACGGGUGAGUAAUGUAUCGGCACGUGCCCAGUAGCGGGGGAUAACUACGCGAAAGCGUAGCUAAUACCGCAUACUAUUGGAGCGGCCGUUAUCGUAUGAGCGGGUUGGUGGGGUAACGGCUCACCAAGGCGCCGAACCGUAGCUGGUUUGAGAGGACGACCAGCCACACGGGGACUGUGACAUGGCCCAGACUCCUACGGGAGGCAGCAGUGGAGAAUUGUGGACAAAGGGGGAAACCCUGUUCCAGCCAUCCCGCGUGUGCGAUUAAGGCCUUCGGGUUGUAAAGCACUUUUGGCAGGAAAGCGGUACCUGCAGAAUAAGCACCGGCUAACUACGUGCCAGCAGCCGCGGUAAUUC